Molecule: ribosomal RNA, 442 nt
Filed under: uncultured bacterium
Lineage: Bacteria
Description: bacterial SSU rRNA
Rfam family: Bacterial small subunit ribosomal RNA
Source: RNAcentral
AACGCGAAGAACCUUACCAGCUUUUGACAUGUCGCGUAUGGGUUCCAGAGAUGGAGUCCUUCAGUUCGGCUGGCGCGAACACAGGUGCUGCAUGGCUGUCGUCAGCUCGUGUCGUGAGAUGUUGGGUUAAGUCCCGCAACGAGCGCAACCCACGUCCCUAGUUGCCAUCAUUCAGUUGGGCACUCCAGGGAGACUGCCGGUGAUAAGCCGAGAGGAAGGUGUGGAUGACGUCAAGUCCUCAUGGCCCUUACGGGCUGGGCUACACACGUGCUACAAUGGCGGUGACAAUGGGACGCGAAGGGGUGACCCUUAGCAAAUCUCAAAAAGCCGUCUCAGUUCGGAUUGCACUCUGCAACUCGAGUGCAUGAAGGUGGAAUCGCUAGUAAUCGUAGAUCAGAACGCUACGGUGAAUACGUUCCCGGGCCUUGUACACACCGCGAGC